This 179-nucleotide unclassified non-coding RNA is filed under the name uncultured Stachybotrys. RNAcentral's name for it is "sequence contains ITS2". Lineage: Eukaryota; Fungi; Ascomycota. The record is from RNAcentral.
CAACCCUCAGGACCCCUCCCCUUCGCGGGGCGGGGACCUGGCGUUGGGGAUCGGCCCGCCCCCGUGCGGCGCCGUCCCCGAAAUACAGUGGCGGUCUCGCUGCAGCCUCUCUUGCGUAGUAGUACAACCUCGCACUGGAGCGCGGCGCGGCCACGCCGUAAAACCCCCGACUUUCUGAA